Molecule: ribosomal RNA, 460 nt
Filed under: uncultured bacterium
Lineage: Bacteria
Description: partial 16S ribosomal RNA
Rfam family: Bacterial small subunit ribosomal RNA
Source: RNAcentral
CCUACGGGAGGCAGCAGUGAGGAAUAUUGGUCAAUGGACGAGAGUCUGAACCAGCCAAGUCGCGUGAAGGAUGAAUGCCCUCUGGGUUGUAACCUUCUUUUAUAUGGGAAUAAAAUGUUACACUAGUGGGGUUUUGAAUGUACCCUAUGUAUAAGGAUCGGCUAACUCCGUGCCAGCAGCCGCGGUAAUACGGAGGAUCCGAGCGUUAUCCGGAUUUAGUGGGUUUAAAGGGAGCGUAGGUGGGUUGUUAAGUCAGUUGUGAAAGUUUGCGGCUCAACCGUAAAAUUGCAGUUGAAACUGGCAGUCUUGAGUACAGUAGAGGUGAGCGGAAUUCGUUGUGUAGCGGUGAAAUGCUUAGAUAUCACGAGGAACUCCGAUUGCGAAGGCAGCUCGCUGGACUGCAACUGACACUGAGGCUCGAAAGUGUGGGUAUCAAACAGGAUUAGAUACCCGUGUAGUC